RNAcentral lists this ribosomal RNA (254 nucleotides) under uncultured bacterium. RNAcentral describes it as "partial 16S ribosomal RNA". It matches the Rfam family "Bacterial small subunit ribosomal RNA", at positions 524 to 776 of the family's 1533-position model. The record is from RNAcentral.
UACGGGGGGAGCAAGCGUUGUUCGGAUUUACUGGGCGUAAAGGGCGCGUAGGCGGCCACCGCAAGUCGACUGUGAAAUCUCACAGCUUAACUGUGAAACUGCAUUGGAUACUAUCCGGCUCGAGGAAUGGAGGGGAGACUGGAAUACUUGGUGUAGCAGUGAAAUGCGUAGAUAUCAAGUGGAACACCAGUGGCGAAGGCGAGUCUCUGGACAUUUCCUGACGCUGAGGCACGAAAGCCAGGGGAGCAAACGGG